AGCGCAGGCGGUUUGAUAAGUUUGAAGUAAAAGGCUGUGGCUUAACCAUAGUAUGCUUUGGAAACUGUCAAACUUGAGUGCAGAAGGGGAGAGUGGAAUUCCAUGUGUAGCGGUGAAAUGCGUAGAUAUAUGGAGGAACACCGGUGGCGAAAGCGGCUCUCUGGUCUGUAACUGACGCUGAGGCUCGAAAGCGUGGGGAGCAAACA
Molecule: ribosomal RNA, 206 nt
Filed under: uncultured Streptococcus sp.
Lineage: Bacteria; Bacillati; Bacillota; Bacilli; Lactobacillales; Streptococcaceae
Description: partial 16S ribosomal RNA
Rfam family: Bacterial small subunit ribosomal RNA
Source: RNAcentral